GAAGUGCUGCCGUCCUGCUGAAGUUGCUCAGGAACACAGAGUCUUCAGAGACUCAGGACUGAUGAGUAAGGACAGAAUAAUACUAGCCCGGCAAGAAGACCCCAGACUACCCUAGAACAGAGAUGGCAGCCCUUCUCCUGAUCGUUCCUGGGUUGUGCCACUGAGGGAGAGAGGGUGAAGACACACAGAGCCAUCAGGGUAGGCGGAGACCCUGAGGCCCCUCUGCCAGGACGAGUUAACAGCAGCAGGCAUUACCUUUCUUCCCAGGAUUUGGUUAAUGGCUGCACUUUCCUUCAGGGAAGCAGAGGCAGAUGGAUUUCUGAGUUCGAGGCCAGCCUGGUCUACAGAGUGAGUUCCAGGACAGCCAGGGCUAUACAGAGAAACCCUGUCUCGAAAAACCAAAACAAACAAACAAACAACAACAACAACCCCCCCCAAAACAAACAAAAAAGGAUCAAGGAACCCCACCAUCCUGCCUAACCUAUAGGUGACUGGUUAGCUUAUGGCCAGAAGUGGCAGUCACUAAUAUCCCUGGACUGUGACAUCAUGUUGGCAGCCCCGGCCUGAGGACUCACCUGGACAUUGAAGCGUUCAUGGCGAGGGCAGGCUGUCCCCAGGAGCUUGAUGAGCACGGCAAAGGCUGAGGCUACCGUCAGGAAUGCAGAGCCUCAAGUGGACAACCUCAGUACAAGACGUAGGAGCCACACGGGCUUGCUCAGCAAGGAAUGCCAUCCGAAACAGAGCCAAGUCCUUCCAGCAAUGCCCCAUCCGAAACAGCCAAAUCCUUCCAGCAAGCUACAUAGGUCGAGCACCUUCUCAGCCCAGGAUUGCUCAGGUGUUCAUGCACACCAGAAGAGGGAAUCAGAUUCCAUUAUGCAUGGUUGUGAGCCACCUUGUGGCUGCUGUGAAUUCAACUCAGAAGAGCAGCCAGCCUCUUAACUGCAGAGCCAUCUCUCCCUUAACCUGAUCAGAAACCAGCUGCAUGGGAUUGAUCGCUCAGGAGAGUAGACCCUUCCCUUCUGCUGUCAAUCACGAUGGAGUCCUGGACUUGACAAUGGCUGCCCAGGAAAUCACCCAACAUUUCAGUAGACAACUAACAACGCUAUUCAGAAUAUGAGUUUUGUCAAUCAUCCAUGACCCCUUAGCUGAUAGAGAAGGGCAGGGCUCCCGGGGAGAAUGGACACUGAAAAUGUUUGCAGUGACAUCAGUUUCUUUGAAACAUCCCAAAGUCCAUGGGGAGGGAGCAGGUCCAGUAGAGGUCGUUCCUUCAGACACACUGUGGGUGGUGUCUGCCAGAGCUGGUCAACUGUGGGGCUGGUAGGGGAUCCCGGAGGACUGAGACUCCACAGCAGCACCCUGCCACCCUCCGACUCUGCCACCUGCCCCGGAGCAGCUAAGCCAGGGGUCCCUCCAUUCUUCUGUCACCCGACCCAGGUAAAUAGAAGAAAGUAUCAGCUUUGCCAC
Molecule: long non-coding RNA, 1464 nt
Organism: Mus musculus (house mouse)
Lineage: Eukaryota; Metazoa; Chordata; Mammalia; Rodentia; Muridae
Product: predicted gene 15401
Exons: 6
Source: RefSeq, marked validated